This 431-nucleotide ribosomal RNA is filed under the name uncultured bacterium. Its description in RNAcentral is "partial 16S ribosomal RNA". It matches the Rfam family "Bacterial small subunit ribosomal RNA", at positions 29 to 507 of the family's 1533-position model. The record is from RNAcentral.
AACGAACGCUGGCGGCAGGCUUAACACAUGCAAGUCGAACGCCCCGCAAGGGGAGUGGCAGACGGGUGAGUAACACGUGGGAACAUGCCCACAGGUACGGAAUAUUCUCGGGAAACUGAGAGCAAUACCGUAUGUGCCCGAAAGGGGAAAGAUUUAUCGCCUUUGGAUUGGCCCGCGUCGGAUUAGCUAGUUGGUGGGGUAAAAGCCUACCAAGGCGACGAUCCGUAGCUGGUCUGAGAGGACGACCAGCCACACUGGGACUGAGACACGGCCCAGACUCCUACGGGAGGCAGCAGUGGGGAAUCUUGGACAAUGGGCGCAAGCCUGAUCCAGCCAUGCCGCGUGGAUGAUGAAGGCCCUAGGGUUGUAAAAUCCUUUCGUUGGGGACGAUAAUGACGGUACCCAAAGAAGAAGCUCCGGCUAACUUCGUG